AACGAACGCUGGCGGCAGGCCUAACACAUGCAAGUCGAACGCUCGUAGCAAUACGGGAGUGGCAGACGGGUGCGUAACGCGUGGGAACAUACCCUUUGGUUCGGAAUAACUCAGGGAAACUUGAGCUAAUACCGGAUACGCCCGAGAGGGGAAAGAUUUAUUGCCGAAGGAUUGGCCCGCGUCUGAUUAGCUAGUUGGUGAGGUAACGGCUCACUAAGGCGACGAUCAGUAGCUGGUCUGAGAGGAUGAUCAGCCACACUGGGACUGAGACACGGCCCAGACUCCUACGGGAGGCAGCAGUGGGGAAUAUUGGACAAUGGGCGCAAGCCUGAUCCAGCCAUGCCGCGUGAGUGAUGACGGCCUUAGGGUUGUAAAGCUCUUUUGUCCGGAAGAAAAGCGCCGGGUUAAUACCCUGGUGUCCUGACGGUACCGGAAGAAUAAGCACCGGCUAACUUCGUGCCAGCAGCCGCGGUAAGCUGUA
Molecule: ribosomal RNA, 481 nt
Filed under: uncultured bacterium
Lineage: Bacteria
Description: bacterial SSU rRNA
Rfam family: Bacterial small subunit ribosomal RNA
Source: RNAcentral